UACGUAGGGUGCGAGCGUUAAUCGGAAUUACUGGGCGUAAAGAGUGCGUAGGCGGUUUCUCAAGUCCGCUGUGAAAUCCCCGGGCUCAACCUGGGAAUGGCAGUGGAAACUAGGAGACUUGAAUCUGGCAGAGGGGGGUGGAAUUCCACGUGUAGCAGUGAAAUGCGUAGAGAUGUGGAGGAACACCGAUGGCGAAGGCAGCCCCCUGGGCUGAGAUUGACGCUCAGGCACGAAAGCGUGGGGAGCAAAAGGG
Molecule: ribosomal RNA, 253 nt
Filed under: uncultured bacterium
Lineage: Bacteria
Description: partial 16S ribosomal RNA
Rfam family: Bacterial small subunit ribosomal RNA
Source: RNAcentral